CAUUCACAAUUUCUUAAAUUUUUGUAAUAUAUACAUAUAUAUAUUUUAAAGAAAUUGUUGAGAAAGAGACUUUUAAUUUCUUAAAUAAUUUUGUUGUGUUAUUGAAAGAAAAAAAAAGGAAACCCAAGUUUCCAAUACAGAACUGAUUCUCUUGUUAUAUAUGUCUAUUUUACUAAAAAAAAACAAAUAAUAAAGGAAGGAAAAUGAUUAGUUAAUUGGAAAGGAAUAAGUGGCUUUAUCAUCUGCAAAUGGAAAGGUGGGUUGCUUGAGUUUGAAUAUGAAAGAUAUGGUUGGUGGAAGGUGGUGGCUGGCGGUGGCGGUGACGGUGGUUGUGUGGCGGUGGUGGAGAACCUGCUGUAAAGAACCAACUUUGCUGGACAAUGAAGAUUGAUCUACCCAUCAUCGUCGUUUCUUUACUCUUACGAUGAAGACUAAGAUGGCCCCACUAUGACUGAAUUAUCUUCUAAUUUUGUUAUUUAUUUAUUAGUUCAUGGA
This is a long non-coding RNA of Cucumis sativus (cucumber), 495 nucleotides long. RefSeq lists it as uncharacterized. NCBI's taxonomy places the organism in Eukaryota, Viridiplantae, Streptophyta, Magnoliopsida, Cucurbitales, Cucurbitaceae. The transcript has 2 exons. The record is from RefSeq and is a predicted model, not a curated record.